UCACCAAUCGGCGGAAGCACGUUUGCUCCCUGGCCAACGAAUUCACCUCAUCUUCCGACGGUUCACCUGUAAACAACUUUGCCGCAGUCUAAAGACUUCGAGGAGUAUGAUUUCUGUUACGAGACCAGGAAGUACAAAAGAAAAUGCUCAAGUACAACAAUUUUCGGAUGUAAAAGAAAAGAAACGUUCUCUUCGCUCUGCCUCCUCUGAUUAAAUCUUGAAAGAGUUGAUCAAGACUCUUUCUAAAUACUCACGAUCGGAAUUUAAAAGCACGAGCUUGGCGCACUCUUCGGGCUUCAAAUUCGACGCCAACAGGUGCAGUUCCGGCACGUCGACUUCGGUGAACAUCUUCUUGAAUCAGAGAUGUACCUGGGAAAGGGACGGUGUGAGGUAGAAGAAUAUAAGGACCGAUGCAUCUUUGAAAACGUUCGGGUACAUCGAUCGAAUGAACGGUUCGAAUCCGAAAUCAAACCUCCUCUACAAAUCAAAUGGGAAGAAAUUGGAUAGAAAUAUAAGCAAUGGCCACAGGUUCUCCAUCUCUAGUUGGCGUCGGCUAGGCUCGGUCUCUAUCCUGUGCGUCCGCAGCCGAGCCAGCCUCUCCA
This is a long non-coding RNA of Ceratina calcarata, 602 nucleotides long. RefSeq lists it as uncharacterized. The record is from RefSeq and is a predicted model, not a curated record. Lineage: Eukaryota; Metazoa; Arthropoda; Insecta; Hymenoptera; Apidae. The transcript is spliced from 4 exons.